GAGGGUAUAGCUCAGUGGUAGAGCGCAUGCCUAGCAUGCACAAGGUCCUGGGUUCAAUCCCCUGUAUCUCCA
RNAcentral lists this transfer RNA (72 nucleotides) under Camelus ferus (Wild Bactrian camel). It matches the Rfam family "tRNA". Rfam says of the family: Transfer RNA (tRNA) molecules are approximately 80 nucleotides in length. Their secondary structure includes four short double-helical elements and three loops (D, anti-codon, and T loops). Lineage: Eukaryota; Metazoa; Chordata; Mammalia; Artiodactyla; Camelidae. The record is from Rfam by way of RNAcentral.